CUCGUGGUCUCGCCGUGGAGAAUCAUUCAGAUUAUGCGUCAACGCUGAUUGUAGAGGUUCUGACUCGCAUUCAAGAACACUAAACGCAGUCAGCAGCUGCAGAAACUCGGCCAGCUCGUUCAGCAACAUAUGGCGAGAAGCCAACUCUUAGGCAAGCUUUGGAACAACACCAAACACGAAGGGAAAGUAGGUCAUGUCCACAACGGCUGAGGACCACGGACAACUGGCCAUCUUGCCAUAUGACAUCACAAACGGCCCUUUUCAGGGCCAUCCAUUGCUAUACGCAAAGACGAGCGUUGCUUGUAGAUUAACCCACCUCAUAUGACAUUGCAUAUUAAUUCUCAAACCCAUUUUGAUACCUGCACAACUAAAAUCAUUAAAGGGACUAUAGCAUCCAUGUGUGUAUGUUAGUCGUCCCUUAACAGUCAACUUGGCCAAAAUUCACUUCCAUAAACAGCUGAAGACAAAAUUUGUCACUCUCAGCAGCUAUGAGCCUUGUGUGUGUGACGUUUGCUCCAAUUUUCAGACAGGGAAUACUCUAAUAUGUGUCAUCCGCUCUUGCCCAGGCUUUACUAAAAACUGCACAAAAACUGACACAAAUUCGCGUAUUAUGUUAGACGUGACUGUCAGUGAGCAAUGUAGAAAAAAUGUCACUGCUGAGGCAGAAUCAAUUGGGACGGAUGCGGCAGCCUCUUUAAGCAGUACCUAUUGUACGAAAAGAAGUCUUAUGGAUAUGCUGAACUGCAAAACUAUAUUUUAUUAUAACCAAGUUAACAUUUUUUUUCUUUCCAGUGCAUGUGCAGUUUCGAGAAGACAGCAGUCUGGAAUCUACUGAAAUUGUGAGCAACAGUAUCAUCACCAUCCGUGCAUAGAUAUUAAAUACCACUGUAGCAUUUUGUUAUGCAACAGAAAUAUUAAA
Ornithodoros turicata is the source of this 919-nucleotide long non-coding RNA. RefSeq lists it as uncharacterized. The transcript has 3 exons. NCBI's taxonomy places the organism in Eukaryota, Metazoa, Arthropoda, Arachnida, Ixodida, Argasidae. The record is from RefSeq and is a predicted model, not a curated record.